This 460-nucleotide ribosomal RNA is filed under the name uncultured bacterium. Its description in RNAcentral is "partial 16S ribosomal RNA". It matches the Rfam family "Bacterial small subunit ribosomal RNA", at positions 338 to 795 of the family's 1533-position model. The record is from RNAcentral.
CCUACGGGAGGCAGCAGUGAGGAAUAUUGGUCAAUGGACGAAAGUCUGAACCAGCCAAGUAGCGUGAAGGAUGACUGCCCUAUGGGUUGUAAACUUCUUUUAUAUGGGAAUAAAAUGUUCCACGUGUGGGAUUUUGUAUGUACCAUAUGAAUAAGGAUCGGCUAACUCCGUGCCAGCAGCCGCGGUAAUACGGAGGAUCCGAGCGUUAUCCGGAUUUAUUGGGUUUAAAGGGAGCGUAGGUGGAUUGUUAAGUCAGUUGUGAAAGUUUGCGGCUCAACCGUAAAAUUGCAGUUGAUACUGGCAGCCUUGAGUACAGUAGAGGUAGGCGGAAUUCGUGGUGUAGCGGUGAAAUGCUUAGAUAUCACGAAGAACUCCGAUUGCGAAGGCAGCCUGCUGGACUGUAACUGACGCUGAGGAGCGAAAGCGUGGGUAGCAAACAGGAUUAGAUACCCGAGUAGUC